GCCCCGUUGGUCUAUUGGCAAGGAUAGCAGGCUUUCAAUCUGCUGAUGAGGGUUCGAUUCCCUCACGGGGUAC
Molecule: transfer RNA, 73 nt
Filed under: Bythopirellula polymerisocia
Lineage: Bacteria; Pseudomonadati; Planctomycetota; Planctomycetia; Pirellulales; Lacipirellulaceae
Description: Planctomycetes bacterium Pla144 tRNA-Glu
Rfam family: tRNA
About the family: Transfer RNA (tRNA) molecules are approximately 80 nucleotides in length. Their secondary structure includes four short double-helical elements and three loops (D, anti-codon, and T loops). Further hydrogen bonds mediate the characteristic L-shaped molecular structure. tRNAs have two regions of fundamental functional importance: the anti-codon, which is responsible for specific mRNA codon recognition, and the 3' end, to which the tRNAs corresponding amino acid is attached (by aminoacyl-tRNA synthetases). tRNAs cope with the degeneracy of the genetic code in two manners: having more than one tRNA (with a specific anti-codon) for a particular amino acid; and 'wobble' base-pairing, i.e. permitting non-standard base-pairing at the 3rd anti-codon position.
Source: RNAcentral